UACGUAGGGUGCGAGCGUUGUCCGGAAUUAUUGGGCGUAAAGGGCUCGUAGGCGGUCUGUCGCGUCGGGAGUGAAAACUCGGGGCUUAACUCCGAGCCUGCUUCUGAUACGGGCAGACUAGAGGUAUGCAGGGGAGAAUGGAAUUCCUGGUGUAGCGGUGAAAUGCGCAGAUAUCAGGAGGAACACCGGUGGCGAAGGCGGGUCUCUGGGCAGUAACUGACGCUGAGGAGCGAAAGCGUGGGGAGCGAACAGG
This 253-nucleotide ribosomal RNA is filed under the name uncultured bacterium. RNAcentral describes it as "partial 16S ribosomal RNA". It matches the Rfam family "Bacterial small subunit ribosomal RNA", at positions 524 to 776 of the family's 1533-position model. The record is from RNAcentral.